Molecule: ribosomal RNA, 376 nt
Filed under: Choreotrichia sp.
Lineage: Eukaryota; Ciliophora; Spirotrichea
Also listed under: 1 other name
Description: SSU rRNA
Rfam family: Eukaryotic small subunit ribosomal RNA
Source: RNAcentral
CCAGCUCCAAUAGCGUAUAUUAAAGUUGUUGCAGUUAAAAAGCUCGUAGUUGGAUUUCUGGUUGGGUAGUUUCUGCCCUCUUGUGAGUGCGCAGUAGUAUCCAUCCAUCCUUCUGUUAACCUUGCAGAUCUUCACGGGUCUGCUUGGGGCUCAGAUAUUUUACCUUGAGAAAAUUAGAGUGUUUCAGGCAGGCUAGCGCCGGAAUACAUUAGCAUGGAAUAAUAGAAUAGGACUUUUACCUCUUCUGUUGGUCUGAGGGGUUCAAGUAAUGAUUAAUAGGGAUAGUUGGGGGCAUUAGUACUUAACUGUCAGAGGUGAAAUUCUCGGAUUUGUUAAAGACUAACUUAUGCGAAAGCAUUUGCCAAGGAUGUUUUCA